UACGGAGGAUGCGAGCGUUAUCCGGAUUUAUUGGGUUUAAGGGUGCGUAGGCGGGCUUUUAAGUCAGCGGUAAAAAUUCGGGGCUCAACCCCGUCCGGCCGUUGAAACUGGGGGUCUUGAGUGGGCGAGAAGAAGGCGGAAUGCGUGGUGUAGCGGUGAAAUGCAUAGAUAUCACGCAGAACCCCGAUUGCGAAGGCAGCCUUCCGGCGCCCUACUGACGCUGAGGCACGAAAGUGCGGGGAUCGAACAGG
This 251-nucleotide ribosomal RNA is filed under the name uncultured bacterium. RNAcentral's name for it is "partial 16S ribosomal RNA". It matches the Rfam family "Bacterial small subunit ribosomal RNA", at positions 524 to 776 of the family's 1533-position model. The record is from RNAcentral.